UCAAAUGAUGAUUUACUCUAUUUUUUUUCACGACGGUCAACGUAGCAUAUGCUUUGACGACCACAGCCUGUGACAGGGCUUAGAUCUGAAU
Molecule: small nucleolar RNA, 91 nt
Filed under: Rhinocladiella mackenziei CBS 650.93
Lineage: Eukaryota; Fungi; Ascomycota; Eurotiomycetes; Chaetothyriales; Herpotrichiellaceae
Description: Small nucleolar RNA snR73
Rfam family: Small nucleolar RNA snR73
Source: Rfam by way of RNAcentral